AUCCAGUUGAUGAGUCCCAAAUAGGACGAAAUACUCAUCCCGGAU
RNAcentral lists this non-coding RNA (45 nucleotides) under Trichobilharzia regenti. The record is from RNAcentral. Lineage: Eukaryota; Metazoa; Platyhelminthes; Trematoda; Strigeidida; Schistosomatidae.